ACAGGUCCUACAACUAAAACUCACGUACCUUUGGCACAAUCCAAUGCAAAAACAGCAAUCUGUGUCCACUGUCAACCGCGACGGCACCUGACAGUCCAAAACAAUCCACAUUCUACUGUAAAAUAAACUCGGCAUUCCAGCACAAGCGUAAUUUCAUUCCACACUAUUCUGAGUAUCCACCACAUACAAACUGCGGUGAUACAAAUGAACCACAGCUCCCAAAGCUAAAUCUAGUAAUUUUUAGAAAGUGACAGUAUAGAAUUUAAUGGUUUUCUCCUAAGUCAAUUCCAAGUCCAAUAUGUAUAAUUCAUCUACAUCACUAACUAUGCUCCAAAUUCAGAUUUCAAAGAACAUGAAAAUCAACAAAUUCGAGCUAUUAAACAUGUUAUGCGAAGCCAAAAAUACAUGCUGUCAACUCUGACUUAGGAGGAAAUCCGACGAUUUUGGUAAACAUUAACCCACCUCAAAAGCUCGUCCAACCGGCGAGAAGUCGAAAGGAGAGGAAAUCACGCGCUCGCCUGGUCUCCAAUGACGCAACCGCGACAUACGCACACUCGAACGGCCCUCCGAAGCGACGUCGAAAAUCUCCCGAGCUCGAGUCGCGACUCCACCACGAGCGUUGACUCAACCUAGAGAGAAAGAUGAAGUAGCAACCAGAGGCUCACUCUCUGCCUCUCUACACGUAUAUGAAGCGGUGGGGAUAAGGG
This 707-nucleotide long non-coding RNA is filed under the name Ananas comosus (pineapple). RNAcentral describes it as "long non-coding RNA (ACOM_LNC001802)". Lineage: Eukaryota; Viridiplantae; Streptophyta; Magnoliopsida; Poales; Bromeliaceae. The record is from RNAcentral.